This 2162-nucleotide ribosomal RNA is filed under the name Triticum aestivum (bread wheat). RNAcentral describes it as "partial small subunit ribosomal RNA". The record is from RNAcentral. Lineage: Eukaryota; Viridiplantae; Streptophyta; Magnoliopsida; Poales; Poaceae.
CAAGAAUAUGGAAGUCUUCUGGAUCGUCGGUCUCGAGGCGUCACAAGGUGUUCUUGGAUGCUCCGGCGAAAUUGCUCCUACAACCGUUGAUGAUCUUGAGUGGCUGAAACAGAAGAGCAACGGGUUUGAUGUUGGUGCAAGCCGGAACAACCUCAGGAUUUCAGAGGACAAAAACUGUUUCCAUUCCCUUGUCAAGAAGAGAGACACCAACGACAAAGUCACGAUGAAUAGCCGUGAGUCCACCCUCGCGAUCUGCUGGUCGCCCCAGGCUGCUCUGGCACCGCCGCUCAAGUUCAGCCUGGGAGAUGCCUUCCUGUUCAUUAAAAAAAAAUUAGACAUGCGGGAGGAGAAUUGGUGCAACCGUCGGAUGGAAAAUGGGGCAACGGGAGCACGGAUGGGAGCACAUUGAGGGGAGCAGGCAAGCCCCAUCCAUUGGAGAUGCUCGGAUUGCGGCGACCGCGGAACGGCACGCACUACGUUUCCCACCUGCGCGGCGCAACCUCCGGCGGAUCCGGCCCUUCCCCUUCUCUCCGACCCACCCCCGCUGCAAAACCGUCGGUGGCGUCGUCCUUCCACCGCGCCGCCACUCCACUACCCCUCCGCCGCCGCCCUCGUCCUCCUUUCCGUCACACACCACAAGCGUUCAAAGAGCGGGGAGCGAGCGAGCGAGUGCCCGCACACGCGUCACUUCUCCGAUCUGGUCCGGCUGUUCCGCCAUAGAGCAAGCCCGGGAUCCCGCCUUUGUUCUAGCUGCCGCUGCGUGCUGCCAAUUCCGAAGGUCAACUCACAGGACUGAAGAGGCGGCUCCUUCCUUCUCGGUUCUCGAUUCAUCAGGCUCCCGACACGCGCCCGUGCCACAAUGUCAGAGGACAAGGGCCGCAGUCGCAGCGGUGCACGGGUGAAAGUCCGGGAGGCGGUCUGCAACGCCGUCGCCGGCGGUUCGGCUGGGGCCAUCUCGGCGACGGUGCUGUGCCCGCUGGACGUGCUCAAGACGCGUCUGCAGGUGUACGGUCUCCCUUCAAACCUUUCCCCUGGCACUGCGCCGCCUGGUAGGAUAAUUCUUUCAGGAUUGCAACACAUACUCAAAACUGAAGGCCUUCCUGGGUUGUAUCGUGGCCUUUCUCCAACAAUAGUAGCACUAUAUCCAACUUGGGCUGUUACAUUUUCAGUUUAUAAUUACGUGAGGGGUCUUCUUCGAUCUCAAGAUGAUAAAAAUGGCGAAUUGUCCAUACAGGAAAAUAUUUUAGCUGCUUCCUCUGCAGGGAUUGCAACAGCUGUUGCAACUAAUCCAUUAUGGGUUGUGAAGACUAGACUACAAACACAAGGGAUGAGACCUGGCGUGGUGCCUUACACGAGCAUCUUAUCUGCGUUACGUAGGAUUGCAGCAGAAGAAGGUCUCCGUGGAUUGUACAGUGGUCUUCUUCCUUCUUUAGCUGGGGUUACUCAUGUAGCCAUCCAGUUCCCAGUAUACGAGAAGGCGAAGCUGUACAUUGCCAAAAGAGACAAUACUACAGUUGACAAGCUUGGCCCUGGUCAAGUAGCAAUUUGUUCUUCAGGAUCCAAAAUAGCAGCCUCGCUGAUAACAUACCCUCAUGAGGUUGUACGAUCUAAGUUGCAAGAACAAGGCCGUGUUCCCCAUGGUGCUAUACGGUAUAUAGGUGUAACGGACUGUAUAAAGCAAGUGUUACAGAAGGAGGGGAUUGCUGGAUUCUACCGAGGUUGUGCUACAAAUUUGUUGCGAACAACACCAAACGCUGUCAUUACUUUUACUAGUUAUGAGAUGAUCAAUCGACUCAUGCACCAGCUCCUGUCCUCCUAAUUGAAAGAUGGAAACCAACAAAUCCUCAACGUGCUUGCAAUGCUGAAUCGUAACUUCUGGCUGUAAUGGUUAGUUAUCGUGGUCGCAUUGCCAUUUGUCCAUUAUUGAAGAAAAGAUAACUGUUGACGACAGAUUUUGGUAUAAGAAGUAGACAGAUCCAGUGGUUUGUGUUUUGCCGUGAGGGAGAAACCCUAUUGUUUUAAAUUCAUUCUGCAUAGUUGUUAGGAGCAAAUCGCUGUCUACAGAAAGUUGGCAUGCUAUACUUUUUUUGCGCAUCAAGAACGUUGGCAUGCUAAUUGUCCAUUCACGUUGAUUUAAGCUUUUAGAAGAAUACUUGGCCAGC